GAUGAAGAACGUAGCGAAAUGCGAUAAGUAAUGUGAAUUGCAGAAUUCAGUGAAUCAUCGAGUCUUUGAACGCACAUUGCGCCCCCUGGUAUUCCGGGGGGCAUGCCUGUCCGAGCGUCAUUGCUGCCCUCAAGCACGGCUUGUGUGUUGGGCUCCGCCCCCCUCCCGGGGGGCGGGCCCGAAAGGCAGCGGCGGCACCGCGUCCGGUCCUCGAGCGUAUGGGGCUUUGUCACCCGCUCUGUAGGCCCGGCCGGCGCCCGCCGGCGACCCCAAUCAAUCUUUCCAGGUUGACCUCGGAUCAGGUAGGGAUACCCGCUGAACUUAAGCAUAUCAAUAAGCGGAGA
RNAcentral lists this unclassified non-coding RNA (344 nucleotides) under soil metagenome. RNAcentral describes it as "partial contains 5.8S ribosomal RNA, internal transcribed spacer 2, and large subunit ribosomal RNA". The stretch from base 1 to 120 matches the Rfam family "5.8S ribosomal RNA", at positions 35 to 154 of the family's 154-position model. The record is from RNAcentral.